Molecule: unclassified non-coding RNA, 454 nt
Filed under: Athalia rosae (coleseed sawfly)
Lineage: Eukaryota; Metazoa; Arthropoda; Insecta; Hymenoptera; Athaliidae
Description: misc RNA ENSAEAG00005008771.1
Source: RNAcentral
UCGCGAGGAUAAAACGAACAGAAAUCACGUCUUCUGAUGCAGUUAUUAAUCGCAGACGGGCGUCGCGACUCUGUGCUCUGGAAAAAUAACGGAAGAAAGAAAGAAAGAAAGAAAGAAGAGCGGAGUUCUUCUUGGCCAUAUUUUAUCGGGCGCAAUCUGUUUGGUGUUAACUGGCUUGGUAGCAGUCUUUCGACACCGCUAAGAAGGACCCUGUCGAAGGAGAAAACUAGAACUCGAAGCCCAGCGGAGCUUUUGUAAUACAAAAUAGGAGAACGAAACGAAACGAAACGUAACGGUACGGAACGGAAUGGAACGGAAGACAGAACCGGAUAUUCUUCAUCGCGAUUCGCCCCGCCGGUUGAAUGAAGAGGGAAAAGAAUGUCGAAGAAAAAUAAGAAAACGAAGAAGAUGAAGAAGAAGGAACGGCUUCUAAUCUUCCGUCGUUAUUAUACGU